Molecule: long non-coding RNA, 1170 nt
Organism: Helianthus annuus (common sunflower)
Lineage: Eukaryota; Viridiplantae; Streptophyta; Magnoliopsida; Asterales; Asteraceae
Exons: 3
Source: RefSeq, a predicted model, not a curated record
UCACUACUAGAAAACUAGGCAAUAGCCACCAAAAUUUGCAACCGAAAGAAAAUGGUAGCAAAAUCAGUUACCAUUUUUCAACCAAAAUAUUAUUGGUAGCAAAUACAUCUCAAAUAUUCAAAAUAAUAAUAAUUUAUAUAAUACGGUCGUAAAAUGGUGACAAAUAUGUAACCAUAUAAUGCUUUAUAGAAGUUGCCACCGUUUUUUUUACGGCCAUUCAGCUUGCCACCGUCACAUGCUCACAAUUUAAAAUUCAAAUCGCUAAUCGAAUCUCACAAACCCAAAAGCAUAGAAAUCCUGGUGAAAUAAUUUGAAAACCCACCGCCUCUUUCUGUCCCUUCUCGCCUCAAAAUUCCACACCCACACCCAAAGGCCACAAUCUCCUUACUGUGCGUAUCCACGUUACUAUUUUCCUCACCUUAGAACGGCGAUGAUGGUGGAACGGAUCAGUAGAGAUGAAGAUAGUGAGGUUGUGGUAGUCGGCGAAGGCGUUGUGGGUAUUUUCUGGCGGUUAAGCAGCGGCAACAACGUCUCUGUUAAGGAUUUAUGUCGAUUAAGGUUCCAUUUGGGCUUCACGUCUCUGUUAAGGCUUUGUGUCGAUUCGAGCUUUGCAGAUUUUGAUAACAAGGUAUUAAUUAGGGCUUCGUAUCUCAAUUAGGGUUUAGAAGUUUAAUUGAUGGGUUCAGGGGCUCUGAUCUUGAAGCCUGACAUAAAUCAACAACAUCCUAAAGGAUGAGGAAUCUGCUGAGCACAUAUUUACAGCAUGUCAAGUUGCGGCGAUCGUCUGUAAUGGUAUUAUUAAUUGGUGUAAUAUUCCAAAUAUUUUUGCUUUUUCGACGAAAGAUCUUCUCGGGUUACACAAAGAUAUUAGAGGUUCGGAGAAGAAGAGGGAUGCGGUUCAAGGCAUUAUAAUGACGGUCUGCUGGAGCUUGUGGAGGGCUAGGAAUAAUGCUAAAUUUUCGAGUGCCCCGGUUAGGAUUCAUUCCAUUGUUAGUGAAGUUAAAUCUUUGAGCUUUCUUUGGUUCGCUAAUAGGUCUAAACACAAAGGGGUAGAAUGGGGAGAUUGGUGUAAAUUUGUGAAUAUGUAAUGUUGUAGUUGUUGUUGUCGGCCCAGUUUGGGUCGGCGUUAGUGGUUAAUGAAAGUUACUUUCCAAAAAAAAAAAAUGUCAC